Molecule: transfer RNA, 70 nt
Filed under: Anastatus formosanus
Lineage: Eukaryota; Metazoa; Arthropoda; Insecta; Hymenoptera; Eupelmidae
Description: tRNA-Val
Source: RNAcentral
AAAAUUUUAGUUUAUAUUUUAAAAUUUUUUUUUUACAAAAAAAUGAAAUUAUUUAUUUUAAUAAAUUUUA